This 604-nucleotide ribosomal RNA is filed under the name Asteroporpa hadracantha. Its description in RNAcentral is "eukaryotic LSU rRNA". It matches the Rfam family "Eukaryotic large subunit ribosomal RNA", at positions 1295 to 1847 of the family's 3401-position model. The record is from RNAcentral. Lineage: Eukaryota; Metazoa; Echinodermata; Ophiuroidea; Euryalida; Gorgonocephalidae.
UGCCGAAUCAACUAGCCCUGAAAAUGGAUGGCGCUGAGCGUGACGCUCAUACCCGGCCGUCGGCGGCAGUGAAGUACGCCCCGACGAGUAGGAGGGACGCCGUGGUGAGCAACGAAGCGACGGCCGAGAGGCCGCGCGGAGCCGCCUCGGGCGCAGAUCUUGGUGGUAGUAGCAAAUACUCAAGUGAGAGCCUUGAGGGCCGAGUCGUGGAGAAGGGUUCCAUGUGAACAGCCGUUGCACAUGGGUCAGUCGAUCCUAAGGUCUAGGGUAGUUCCGCUCCGAGCGGCGGCGCGCGCCCACCUCCCCGGUGGGUAAGCGCUCCCUGGCCGAAAGGGAAUCGGGUCAAUAUUCCCGAACCUGAAGGUGGAGCCCGCCGCCACUAUGGCGGUCAGAGCUGUAAAGCUAUCGAGCCCGGAGACGCCGACCGGAGCCCCGGGAAGAGUUGUCUUUUCUUUGUAAGGGGCGCGGCUCCCUGAAACCGGCUGGAUCGGAGAGAGGGACCGCGGCCCCGUAGAGCGCCGCGUCUGGAGCGGCGUCCGGAGUUGCACCGGUCGGCCCUUGAAAAUCCGGGGGACGAGCGUGGACUCUCCACCUCAGAUCGUAC